RNAcentral lists this ribosomal RNA (506 nucleotides) under uncultured bacterium. RNAcentral's name for it is "partial 16S ribosomal RNA". It matches the Rfam family "Bacterial small subunit ribosomal RNA", at positions 29 to 523 of the family's 1533-position model. The record is from RNAcentral.
AGUGAACGCUGGCGGUAGGCCUAACACAUGCAAGUCGAACGGCAGCACAGGAGAGCUUGCUCUCUGGGUGGCGAGUGGCGGACGGGUGAGGAAUACAUCGGAAUCUACUCUGUCGUGGGGGAUAACGUAGGGAAACUUACGCUAAUACCGCAUACGACCUACGGGUGAAAGCAGGGGACCUUCGGGCCUUGCGCGAUUGAAAGAGCCGAUGUCGGAUUAGCUAGUUGGCGGGGUAAAGGCCCACCAAGGCGACGAUCCGUAGCUGGUCUGAGAGGAUGAUCAGCCACACUGGAACUGAGACACGGUCCAGACUCCUACGGGAUGCAGCAGUGGUGAAUAUUGGACAAUGGGCGCAAGCCUGAUCCAGCCAUACCGCGUGGGUGAAGAAGGCCUUCGGGUUGUAAAGCCCUUUUGUUGGGAAAGAAAUCCAGCUGGCUAAUACCCGGUUGGGAUGACGGUACCCAAAGAAUAAGCACCGGCUAACUUCGUGCCAGCCGCCGCAGUAA